This 494-nucleotide ribosomal RNA is filed under the name Splanchnonema pupula. Its description in RNAcentral is "eukaryotic LSU rRNA". The stretch from base 156 to 309 matches the Rfam family "5.8S ribosomal RNA". Lineage: Eukaryota; Fungi; Ascomycota; Dothideomycetes; Pleosporales. The record is from RNAcentral.
ACCUGCGGAAGGAUCAUUACCGUGGGGCUCCGGCCCCAUUGAGAUAGCACCCUUUGUCCAUGAGUACCCUUUGUUUCCUCGGCGGGUCCGCCCGCCAGAGGACAGUCCAAAAACCUCUUGCAGUAGCAGUAUCUUCAGUAAAAAACAAAUAUUAAAACUUUCAACAACGGAUCUCUUGGUUCUGGCAUCGAUGAAGAACGCAGCGAAAUGCGAUAAGUAGUGUGAAUUGCAGAAUUCAGUGAAUCAUCGAAUCUUUGAACGCACAUUGCGCCCUUCGGUAUUCCGUUGGGCAUGCCUGUUCGAGCGUCAUUUAAACCUUCAAGCUCUGCUUGGUGUUGGGUGUUUGUCCCGCCCCCGUGUGCGGACUCGCCUCAAAUUCAUUGGCAGCCGGUAUGUUGGCUUCGUGCGCAGCACAUUGCGCCGCGAUUCCAGCAGGCCCCCUCCCAUCAAGCCCCCUUUUUUACUUUGACCUCGAUCAGGUAGGGAUACCCCCU